Molecule: ribosomal RNA, 256 nt
Filed under: uncultured bacterium
Lineage: Bacteria
Description: partial 16S ribosomal RNA
Rfam family: Bacterial small subunit ribosomal RNA
Source: RNAcentral
UACGUAGGGUGCAAGCGUUGUCCGGAAUUAUUGGGCGUAAAGAGCUCGUAGGCGGUUUGUUGCGUCGGCUGUGAAAUCCCGAGGCUCAACCUCGGGUCUGCAGUCGAUACGAGCAAACUAGAGUGUUGCAGGGGAGACUGGAAUUCCUGGUGUAGCGGUGAAAUGCGCAGAUAUCAGGAGGAACACCGGUGGCGAAGGCGGGUCUCUGGGCAACAACUGACGGCUGAGGAAGCGGAAAGCCAGGGGAGCAAACGGG